This 236-nucleotide unclassified non-coding RNA is filed under the name Hevea brasiliensis (rubber tree). Lineage: Eukaryota; Viridiplantae; Streptophyta; Magnoliopsida; Malpighiales; Euphorbiaceae. The record is from RNAcentral.
GUUGAAAUUUAUCCAAGAUAUGAAGUGAUAAUAUGAACCCUUCUAUAAAAUUUUGAAAUAAAUUAAUUGGUGGAGAAAGUUAGCUAAGCAUGAAAUUAAUUGAUUAGUUCUCCAAUGCAAAAGAAUUAUAUGUCUAUAUUUAUAAUUGUAAUUGUACACUUAGCCACUAAUCAUUUUUUUCUUUAGAAAAAGUUGAACUCAAAUGUUUGUUAUGUUCAGCUACUAAUUGAGUUAAC